AGUCCUUCGUCUUCGUCCUUUGUCCAGUCCUUCGCCAGUCCUUCGUCUUCAUCCUUCGCCAGUCCUUCAUUCGUCUUCCUCUUACACGAGUUCCCGUGGGUUUGUCUUCUUCAUUCGUGGGUUCGUUCUCCAUUCUCCAUUCUCCGUUCUCCGUUCUCCGUUCAUUGCCAUUCUCCUCUUGGAUCGAAAUCGCUGGCAAAGUUAGAAAAAACAACUCGAUUCUAAGUCCGGAGAAUAGCGGAUCAAUGCUAGUGGUAGUCUCUGCUUCAAUUUCGUGAGGAGAUCGUGAAAAGCACGUGAGGAGAUUACAAAAAAAGGAAAAGCAUCAAAGGGCUUUUAUCCUUUCAACCGGUUCAUUUAUGUCUCCCUCCUAAACUCGGAGCGUUAUAUGGAAUUCACAUUCAACCAUCACAUUAUAUAUUAUUCCUUGCCUAGAUCUGGGAUUCACAUUCACCAACAUCCAGCGUGAAGAUUUCAUCAUAACUCACCUCGACCAUGGAUUCUCCAUUUGCCUAGAUCUAAAAUUCACAUUCAACCUGCAACGUCUUGCAAGUUACCUGAGAUUUCAAUAAGUUGGAUCUCUGGCGGUGAAGCAAAAUGAAGAUGCUCGAUCGCUCCUAUAGGGAGGUAGAUCUUACGAUAAAUGUUCGAUCAUUCCCUAGUAGAAGUUGGAUCGCUGACGAUGAAGCAGAAUCGAGAUGCCCAAUCGUUCCUACUAGAGAGGUGGAUCUAACGACAAAAGCCCGAUCAUCCCCUAGUAGAAGUUGGAUCGUUGAUGGAAAAGCAUAGCCCACAUGUCCAAUUGUUCCUACUAUGGAGGUGGAUCUAACGACAAAAGUCGAUCGUUCUCUAAUAAAAGUUGGAUCAUUGACGACAAAGAAGAACCGAGAUGCUCGAUCAUUCCUACUAGAGAGGUGGAUCUUACAACAAAUGUCUGAUCGUCCCCUAGUAGAAGUUGGAUCACUAACGACAGAGUCACCCCUGCAAAUGAUUGCAAAAAAAAAAAAAAAAAAAAAAAAGAAGAAGUUCUACCUUUAGCUCCUGUAAAAAAAAUGGGAAGAGAAAAAGGGAAAAGACAAGUUUUUUCAUACUUUUCUUUUGUUGGAUAAGGAAUAAAUGAUCAAUGUGUGGGUCUAUUUAUAAGGCCAACAAAUCUAAUUUCUAAAAGAAUUAACAAUGUUAUUUAA
This is a long non-coding RNA of Cucumis sativus (cucumber), 1187 nucleotides long. RefSeq lists it as uncharacterized. NCBI's taxonomy places the organism in Eukaryota, Viridiplantae, Streptophyta, Magnoliopsida, Cucurbitales, Cucurbitaceae. The transcript is spliced from 3 exons. The record is from RefSeq and is a predicted model, not a curated record.